RNAcentral lists this ribosomal RNA (406 nucleotides) under uncultured bacterium. RNAcentral's name for it is "partial 16S ribosomal RNA". It matches the Rfam family "Bacterial small subunit ribosomal RNA", at positions 29 to 526 of the family's 1533-position model. The record is from RNAcentral.
CUUGAACGCUGGCGGCAGGCCUAACACAUGCAAGUCGAACGAGUGGCGGACGGGUGAGUAAUGUCUGGGAAACUGCCUGAUGGAGGGGGAUAACUACUGGAAACGGUAGCUAAUACCGCAUACCAUCGGAUGUGCCCAGAUGGGAUUAGCUAGUAGGUGGGGUAAAGGCUCACCUAGGCGACGAUCCCUAGCUGGUCUGAGAGGAUGACCAGCCACACUGGAACUGAGACACGGUCCAGACUCCUACGGGAGGCAGCAGUGGGGAAGAUGGCACAAUGGGCGCAAGCCGGAUGCAGCCAUGCCGCGUGUAUGAAGAAGGCCUGCGGGUUGUAAAGUACUUUCAGCGGGGAGGCGUUACCCGCAGAAGAAGCACCGGCUAACUACGUGCCAGCAGCCGCGGUAAUUC